RNAcentral lists this ribosomal RNA (390 nucleotides) under Triticum aestivum (bread wheat). RNAcentral's name for it is "partial small subunit ribosomal RNA". The record is from RNAcentral. Lineage: Eukaryota; Viridiplantae; Streptophyta; Magnoliopsida; Poales; Poaceae.
AUGGGCUGCCUCCCCAUCGAGCGGGGCCGCCGGGUCAUGCUCUGCAUCGAGGAGUACAAUGUCGCCGCGAGGUCGUUCAACACCAAGCUCCGCGCCAUGGUCGACAAGCUCACCGGCAGCCUUCCCGGCGCACAGUUCUGGGUCGCCGAGGUGUAUGACUUCUUCACCGGUAUUCUGCAAAACCCGUUGAGGUACGGGUUCGUGAAGACGUCCAGGGGUUGUUGUGGCACGGGGUUGUAUGAGAUGGGUUACACGUGCAGCGAGUGGGAUGCGCUCACGUGCGCCGAUGCAAACCGGUACGUUUUCUGGGACGCCGUGCACCCGACGGAGCGGGCCAACCAGAUCAUCGCCGAGUACCUCAUGAACACAACCUUCAGCCAUUUCUUGUGA